This 1202-nucleotide long non-coding RNA is filed under the name Vulpes vulpes (red fox). Its description in RNAcentral is "lncRNA (ENSVVUG00000002565.1)". Lineage: Eukaryota; Metazoa; Chordata; Mammalia; Carnivora; Canidae. The record is from RNAcentral.
CUGAAACUCAUUUCCAUGUCUGGAAUUGGAUCAAUUCAGUCACUGAGAUUAAAGAAUUAUACACUUUAAAGAGCUAUCUGCUGAGUUGACACAUGCCCAUCACGCCCAUGAGGAAGAGAUGCCCACCACAUCCAUCACUCAAGUUUGUCUAUAAAAGCAAGUUGUGGAGAUUCAAGAGUUUUAUAUUUUCUUUUCAUUUCUCUACAGGUCACUAUGUGAUGGAUAUUCCUGGCCCAACUCCGGAAAGGCCUGUCAUUGUGUGGAGGGAGACAAGGAGCCAAAAACAAAACUAUCUAAUUUCUUGAUUUCUGUAGUGGAAAAGAUAAACAAGUUUUCUGGCUUUCAAUGGUCUUCUAUCAAAUACUGAGAAGGGUUGUGUAAAGUCAGGUCAUUGCAUGUUAAUUGAGCUUUUUUUCCUCUGAAAAUUCCUGCCACAGAUGCUCCAGAGAACAUUUACAAAACAGGCUCUAUCUUCAGAAAGCUUUAGCACUUUUUAUAAAAUCUAUUUUUAGAGAACUUCGGCGCUAGAUAGAAGAAAGAGUGAAUAUAGAGAACAGAAGAGAAGGGAUGAUCAGAGGAUAGUUUAUACUUGGAAAAAAGAAAAAAAAGAAAAAACCCUCUCUGCAUGCAGUGCCAUUGUUGACGAUGAUGACAAGAUCCAGGUUGCAAUCCUGUGAGCAGAUGGCUAGGUUGUGGUGGAGGGAAUAAUCUUUAUUUCUAAGGAGGUCAAGAGAAUUUCUACUUUUUAGAUCAUCUGCUUGAUGUUGAAGUUUCUAAAACUGAUGACAUGAUUGUGUGGGGAAGAGGAUGUCUAUCUGAGUGAAUUAGGGAGAGAAGAUGGACAUAACAACAAAGAGAACACGUAAAAUCUGAUGACAUGUUGAAAAGGAACUACAAUUUGUGAAAAAGGGAGAAUUUAUUUAGGUGUAAUGACUGGGCGUAUAAAACCUGUUAGCCUAAGGUGCUAAAGUGAGGUGCAUAAGUGGGUGCAAAAAGUGAAGGACCUGGAACCUCAGGACAUGUCCCCAAUAACUAGUUUAAGGAUGGAGAAGUCUGUUGAUCGCAGACCCUGAAUCUGGCACCAUAUGGUGGUAAGGGUUUGGGAGGAGAGGAGUUAAUAGGACACGGGUCAUUGUAGAUUAUAUUCAGAGCCUUAUGGGAAUAAGUGUGUAUGUGAUGACUAAGGAUCCGGGAGUCUGGGG